UACGUAGGUGGCAAGCGUUGUCCGGAUUUACUGGGCGUAAGGGAUGUGUAGGCGGAUACUUAAGUGAGAUGUGAAAGCCCCGGGCUCAACCUGGGGACUGCAUUUCAAACUGGGUAUCUAGAGUGCAGGAGAGGAAAGCGGAAUUCCUAGUGUAGCGGUGAAAUGCGUAGAGAUUAGGAAGAACAUCAGUGGCGAAGGCGGCUUUCUGGACUGUAACUGACGCUGAGGCAUGAAAGCGUGGGGAGCAAACAGGAUUAGAUACCCUGGUAGUCCACGCCGUAAACGAUGAGUACUAGGUGUAGGAGGUAUCGACUCCUUCUGUGCCGCAGCAAACGCAUUAAGCACUCCGCCUGGGGAGUACGACCGCAAGGUUGAA
RNAcentral lists this ribosomal RNA (376 nucleotides) under uncultured bacterium. Its description in RNAcentral is "bacterial SSU rRNA". It matches the Rfam family "Bacterial small subunit ribosomal RNA", at positions 524 to 898 of the family's 1533-position model. The record is from RNAcentral.